UGCUUGGCCCCAGCAGCUCCCUUGUAAGUAUGCAUGUUCAGGUACGUUUCAUAUAUAUAUUUAGGAGUCCAGGCCAACUCCCCGGUCUUGCACUCCUCUCUGUCACCGUUGCCUCAUUCCAGGGCCCUAUUUGGCCUUGCUUUGCAAAGAGUCCCAAGAGUAGAUGGUUUAACUCAUAUUAGUCGGACCUGCCCCAAAACAUUUUUUUGCCCAGGUGAGGUGUUUGUAAAUAAAACUAUUGUGUUACAUUCUGUGAGCCUUGUAAUUGCUGUUUAGUGAAUGAGUGAGUGUGCUGGAUCUUGUAUGUUUUAUAUGUAUGUAUGUGCAUGCGUGCGUGUGUGUAUAUAUAUAUAUAUAUAUACACACACACACACACACUAUAUAUAUAUAUAUAUAUAUAUAUAUAUAUAUAUUUAUUAAAAAAAUCUUUUCUUCUAUUUAUUAAAAAAAUAACAAAAUGUGGACCUUAUACUAGGCAGCAUGAAGGUUUGUAAUUCUUAAAAUGCAGAUUUAUUUAAUGAAAAAUAAUAAAGCACAUGUGCAAGUGCUGGAGAACCACUGUUUUUGUCAAACAGCUCAAAAAACAGUGUGACAUAAAUUUGGGGUAUAUUGAUAGCAGAAUUUCCAUUUUUAAUAUGUUUAUUCAUUGACUACAAAAAUAUAGGAUGUAUAGGGGAAAAAAGAAAGUAUAGAAAUAACACAGUAUCCCAUGCAGAAAACUUAUCGUAAAAGCACAAAUACUAUUUUCUGUAGUAUGACCUGCACAUCUGCUGGCCUUUUUGGGAGUGCACAUUCUAAAAAUGGCAUCAGAAUACAACAUUAUGACUACAGGUGACCAUGUGCCUUACUGAGUGCCAAUGACCUUCUGUACAUAAACUACUCUCUAGAUAGAUACUGUUGAGGAGUAGGAGCAGAAAGGACAAUUAUGUAACUUACACCCUCAUAAAAGGACCUGUGUUGUAGAGGAGGUGAGUGUUAAAAUGGAUCUACUGUAAUAUUUUUUGGUUUAUGUUGCUAUGUAGUGCAUUGUGAUAUAGAUUGCAUGCAUACUAUAAAGAUAUUGUUGGUAAUAAAGGAUUUAAUCAAAGCACAAAAGAGUUCUGAUAUUUUGAAACACGUGUGGUAAAGGAAGGAUGUGGCCUAUUAAUGCAAGCAAAAAUACUGAGUCUUGAUACUAUCAUACUAGAUUGGACUGCACGAGAACUGAAACUUCGACUAUUGGAUUUUUUUUGAUGAGAUAAAGUAGAAAUUAUUUUUAAUGUAAUAUCCCAGAAAGCUGUUACAUUACAUAUAUACACUGGUGAUAAAAGAAGAUGCUUUGCUGUUUAUAUCUGUGUAUAAAAAUAAUUUAUUAUAUGAUCCCUUUAUUAGGUUCACCUUUCUAAUACAGGGUUAAACCCCAUCUGACCCAAGAACAGAUUUAACAAAGUGCUGGAAACACAUCUUUGAAAUUCUGGUCCAUGGUGGCAUGAUAGCAUUGUGUAGUUGCUGCAUAUUUGAUAGCUGUACAUUCAUGUUGCGUGUCUUCUGUUUCACCACAUUCCAGUAUCCUGGGUGUCACUGAAGUACAUUAAAUUAUAAUUUUUGUGAAACUAACUUGAGAUGAUGUGUGCUUUGUGACAUGGUAUAUUAACUUGCUGGAAGUAGUCAUUAUAAGGUGGGUAGACUGUGGUUACAAUGGGAUGCACUUGGUCAACAACAAUACUCUGGUAGGCUGUGGCAAUUAAAGAUAUGUUAGACCAGGCAAAGUUUUUUUCAAUCUUCUACUAUCCAUGUUGGUGUGCCUUUGACAACUGCAGCCUCAGUUUCAGAAUGACUGGUGUGGUCUUCUGAUGGUCUUUUAAAUCCUAGCCAGGGCUAAACCUUAAAAGCCAGGAGAAUCCAUAACACACAAACUGAGACAAAUUUCUACCUGCCAAUGGCAGUGGCAAGUGGAAAUUUUGAAUCCUGCCAUCAGGAUAUCAUUAUGUUGGAUGGCACGCAGUACAGUUCAUCCAAAAGUAAUUCAGUGGGAUUGAGGUCAUGGCUCUGUGCAUGCCCACCAAAUUCAUCAAACCACAUCUUCAUGGACCAUACUUUGUGCACAGGAGCACUGGCAGGGUGGAACAGGUGAAGGUCUUCCUCAAACUGCUGACACAAACUUGGAAGCACCCAGGUGUCUAAAAUGUUUAUGUAACCUGUAGCAUUUAGAUAACCCUUCACUAAAAUGGAGGGGCCUAGUCCAAACUCUGAAAAACAUCUCCAGACCAUUAUCCUACCUCCACCCAACUUGACAGCAAGCAUUACAUAUUCUGGUAGGUAGAGAACACCUAGUAUCCCUCCUGAACAAAUUCUUCCAACUGAGUUCCAGAUAGUGAAAUGGCACUCAUCACUGCAGAGACCACAUUUAUACUGCAAUGGAAACUAAUUUCAUGAAGCUCCCCACUCAGCGUUCUUGAGCUGACAAACUUUGCAGUUUGUAACUCUUUAGUGAGUGAUGCAACAGACGACGGGUGAUUUUUAC
RNAcentral lists this long non-coding RNA (2503 nucleotides) under Pelobates cultripes (western spadefoot toad). Lineage: Eukaryota; Metazoa; Chordata; Amphibia; Anura; Pelobatidae. The record is from RNAcentral.